CGGGCACCCGGGCCCCGCGGCCCGGGCCCGGCAGCGCGGCGCGGCCGAGCGCGGGAGACUUACUUUUGGCUAGCUUCCUCGCCCUCGCCUUGGAUCGCAUGGUGUCGGCUCGCGGAAUCUCUCUCCUCCUCCUUGAGCCCAGAAGCAGCUACACACUAUCUUCAUCUCCCCAGCAUUGUCAGUUUGGACACCUUCGCACAUGCGCACAGAGCACUCAAUCUGACACCCCUCGCCGGGGCCAAAAAAACUUUGCAAUGUAUUCAUCAUCCUCAUCGUCGCGCCGCUGCCGCCGCCGCCGCCGCCUCGGCGCGGGAUUGGGGGGCUCUCCUCGGCCUUCUCGGUCUUCACCUCACUUCUCUCUGCCCCCUCCCCCCCCUUUUCAGCGCCGCUUGGAACUGGCCCUUUAAGAAAACAUUCCGUGAUCUGCGCUCUCGCCCGGGGCCCGCACCCCGGACACUUUAAAAGGACCCAGGUGGCCCUGGAGGCGAGGUGACCGUCCCCCCGCCCUGCCCCUGCGUCGCGUCGCGCUGCAGCUCCCGCCCCAGCCGGGCCAAAGAUGGGGUGGCGGCUGCGGUUUUUCGUGCGACUUCCUUAGAUCUUGGGGCAAACGCGCAGAUAGUUCGGACGCGGGUCCGGGCUGAUUUCGCUGCGUUUUAUUGCGUUUUAUUACUAAUUAAAAAGCUUUCGUUCACCGUCGCCCCAGCCCGCUCUUCUCCCGAACUCUCCCCUCGGCCCCCGCCUCCGCCCCGCGAUUGCUCCGGGGGUACCGGCGCCCGCGCGCCAGAACCCGGCUCCUCCGAAGCCCCCUCCGAGCCCCGCCGCCGCCCUCGGG
This 832-nucleotide long non-coding RNA is filed under the name Marmota monax (woodchuck). Lineage: Eukaryota; Metazoa; Chordata; Mammalia; Rodentia; Sciuridae. The record is from RNAcentral.